RNAcentral lists this transfer RNA (71 nucleotides) under Camelus bactrianus (Bactrian camel). It matches the Rfam family "tRNA". From Rfam's summary of the family: Transfer RNA (tRNA) molecules are approximately 80 nucleotides in length. Their secondary structure includes four short double-helical elements and three loops (D, anti-codon, and T loops). Further hydrogen bonds mediate the characteristic L-shaped molecular structure. tRNAs have two regions of fundamental functional importance: the anti-codon, which is responsible for specific mRNA codon recognition, and the 3' end, to which the tRNAs corresponding amino acid is attached (by aminoacyl-tRNA synthetases). tRNAs cope with the degeneracy of the genetic code in two manners: having more than one tRNA (with a specific anti-codon) for a particular amino acid; and 'wobble' base-pairing, i.e. permitting non-standard base-pairing at the 3rd anti-codon position. Lineage: Eukaryota; Metazoa; Chordata; Mammalia; Artiodactyla; Camelidae. The record is from Rfam by way of RNAcentral. RNAcentral also lists the same sequence under 3 other names.
GAGCGUAUAGCUCAAUGUAGAGCUUAUGUUUAGCAUGCAUGAGGUCCUGGGUUCAAUUCCCAGUACCUCCA